UUUUUUUUUUUUCUUUUUUUUUACAGUGAUCUUUGACUCUCUCCGUAACGUUAUGCAAUGAUUACUCAUCCGUGUCCUUUCAAUUGACAUUUCAUUCGCGCGUCAUUUUGUUACAGUUUUCUAUGUAUGUACGACGUUGAUGCGUUACUUUAUUUCGUCGAUGCGUUGCACAUUUCACGAUCGAUCGGAUCGAAUAGAAAAGAAGAAAUCGUUCCAAAUCACAUGUACAUUGCUCGUAAUGACGUUCGAACGAAGAGUCAGAGACAGGCUUGCCUAAACGGUUCGUCUACGCUCGAUUCUAUAAGACUAGAUUGGCUGUUGACGUGUAAAUAUAUUCCAUUAUUUUUCCACGUUCUUACAUACGAAAAAGUCUGUUACGAUUGUAAGCGUAAGGUUCCUAGAUGUAACAGCUGUUUUCCUCAUUUUCUAUCGUUUCGAUCGACGACCAGUUCGACGGCGAGUCUGUGUCUGCACCACACGUUCCGACAGAUUAAGGGAACAGCUUGAAAAAAAAAAAAGAAGAAAAUCGUUCCAACAGGGUCGAAACCGAACGUUCGAGUUCUACAGAUUCUCAACGUUGUGAGCAAACGCAUGAGGAAAAGCGGCUGGCCCAAAAUGCCAGUGACGUGAAAACGGUGACGGCCGAAACAGGCCAAUUUCGAACGUGUUCGGAUGGACAGCCGCUGGCAAACUUGAUCCACAACUUCAAUACGAUAUUCACAGCUAGAUAUAUCCACGUUUCUCGUUUUCACGCUGUUAAUACAAUACUCGACAGUCAAUCGAAUCUCUAAUCAAUUAGAGUUAACCUCGUAACGGUAGUCAAUAAUAAAAAAAAAAAAAAAAAAACAAAAAGAGAAUGAUCUAUAUGAUUAUCGGAGCGCGUCGUUCUUCGUCACGGCAACGAAUUUCUCGGGGAAAAAAAAAAAGAAAACCAGAGCGUUCCAUCUGAGACGAACGUAUUUUGGUACAUUUUGGUGUCAUUGAUAUAUUUCGAAUCGAAACAUUGAUAACAUGAAAAAAAAAAAAGAAAAAAAAUGAAGCGAGCGAUUGAUCGUUGAGGUCGUUCUUUGAGUUGUUUCUUCCUUUUUUUUCUUUUUUUUUUUUUUUCUUUCAAACAAUUACUCGACUGCAGAUUUUCAUUCAUUCGAAGAGAGAUGUUUAAAGAUGCACGAAAGUACAGAAUUAAAAUAGAACUAUCGAAUACAGUAUGUGGUUGUUAUAAUGUUCAUCAGGUGAAAAGAAAUUUUUCUUUUAAUUGCAAAAGUUGAAAGAAAGAACGUACAAGAAUUUAUAAAUGUCCGUUUAGGAACGAUUUAAGUCAUCGUUGGUAUCGUAUUCGUAAAGCGUCGUAAAUGUCUGCGGAUUUUAUAUAUUUUCGAAAUUUCGUUUCUCUCGGCGAUCGACGGUGUUAACUCGAUCGGGGCGUGUAUCAUGAAAAUUCAUUGCUGUCUCGAAGAACGUUCUCAGCGUUGAAAAAGUAUUCGAAAACAGCACGACUUCCUCGAUUUGUUUUCUUGUCGAGUUCGUGGACAAGAGAACACACGGUAACAUGGAGUUAAUUGUUCGAUGUUUUAAAGAAAAAAAAGGAAAGAAAAGAAAAAAAAGAAGGAGAAGAAGAAGAAGAAGAAGAAGAGGAGGAGGAAGGAGAAAAAAGAAGAAGAAAAGGGGAGAAUGUAGGAUGUGGCAAACCGCAGAACUGAUGAAUAAGCGAAUACAAAUUAAAGUUAGAUCGUCGCCGUAGUGUUAAACUUAAACUAAAGCAGAAAAAAAAUUUACAAAAGCAAAAAAAAGGUACGAAAGGUAAAAGAAAAAAAAAAAGAAAAAAAAUGGUGUAAUUAUUAACGAUAUUAACGGUAAACAAGCAGUCGACGCUAUUUUUUAGAUACGUAAACGAGUUAAGCCAGGACCCAGGACGAUCAUGCCUCGGUCUCGCCCGGUGAAAAUUAGUUUUUUUUCUUUUUUUUUCAUUCCCCCUUGUUCAACGUCGUGACGGACGUAUAAUUUUUUAUUGGCUGUGCGCUCGAACUUCGAGCCGAGUUAUAAUCGAAGCGUCGUGCACGUGCACGACGAUUAAACCUGGGUUAAAAUCACCACGACACGGAACAUUGAAAAUCACUUUUACGUAAGUACGAACGACUGAUCGUUCGAUUCAAGCAAGCUAUCCAGCCAUCUAUUAAUUUCCUCGUUUUCACGGAUCUGUUUAGUCACUCGUCGAUUUGCGUCGUACGCAGUACCAAAGAACUAUUAUCUAACAGGUAUACAGAGCCCUGGUGAAACUUAUCGCUUCAUAGCCGUACUAAUGUUAGCUAAACGAACAAACGAGUCGAAUGAACUAGGAAUGUAGAGAAAACAGAACGAAAAACCGCGGUGAAAAUUCGUUCUCCUUGUUCCCUCUCGUUAACAGGAGAGAGGCCGAUCGCUAUUUCGAUUCGUCGCGUUAUUAUUAAAUGUUUAGGAGACUCUAAAGAGGACCAAAGUACUUAAACGUAACUACGCCGAAGCCGCGGCACCCUUAAACGCAGCGAUAGAACAUAAAUCAAUGUCGUCUUUUCGCCGGUUGUCAAUAAGCAAGCGAACCAAGAGUACCAAACGAGAGGGAGAGAAAGUGAGCGAGUGAGUGAACAAAGAAAAGAAUAAUCGGAGAUCCGCAAUUUUCCACAUUCAUAGAUACAUUUUACUCUCUGUUUCCGUAGAUGUUCUUUUAUUUUUUCUAGAAAUAAAUAUUGUACAAUUUGUUAUAUACUGUAAUGAUCGUUAAUAAUAUUUUAUAUUAAUCGCUUAACAAUUUAAUUUCCAAAAGAAUUCCUUACAGACACAAUAAAAAUACAGUACGUUCACGAUGUCACAAGGAUAAAAAGAUUUGUUCCUAGAGUCAUGACUUUUAUUGACAAAAAGAGACCUUCAUCGUAUCGAAGCAUUUUCAAUCUUACCAAGAACAUUGCCAUAAACUAUUAUACCUUCAUAUACGAAGAAUGCAAGUAGAACAAUUUUCAUUUUUUUCAUCAGUUCGUCUUUCUCUUAUCGGAUAAUUGUUAUUUUAAUAUACAUGCGUUAUAUUUUAUUGGAUUAUCAUUACCACGGAAAUUCCGCCAAAAUGGAACCCAACAAUUAGCGAUAAAAAAAAACAAUAACAUACCAAAAUUAUCAAUGUACUUAAAAUAUUUAAGGAUAAAAACAGUUUAAUUGCACUACAUUUGUAAACUUUAUUAAUUAUACGUUGCAAAAAAAUGA
Long non-coding RNA from Frieseomelitta varia, 3231 nucleotides. RefSeq lists it as uncharacterized. The transcript has 2 exons. NCBI's taxonomy places the organism in Eukaryota, Metazoa, Arthropoda, Insecta, Hymenoptera, Apidae. The record is from RefSeq and is a predicted model, not a curated record.